Molecule: small RNA, 630 nt
Filed under: Butyricicoccus intestinisimiae
Lineage: Bacteria; Bacillati; Bacillota; Clostridia; Eubacteriales; Butyricicoccaceae
Also listed under: 1 other name
Source: RNAcentral
AAUACGCGGUGGCGCAGUAUUCUAGUCAGCCGCUUCGACUCCUAAGACGGGCCUAAAAAUCCGUAGAAAGGCACAUCGAUGAAGUCCCUGGUGUUUGCUUCUUACGCCCAGUUUGGGGUGGAUGCUGGGGGUUAAGGUUUUAGGAUGCUUCCCAAUGGCAUGGGAAUAUAGUUCCUAUUACCGUGGAGACCGGUUGCUGUAGAGAACCUAUACACCUUCGGGUUGAUGGAUUCUUUACGGGAUCGGAAUAAACCUGCAAUGCGGUGCGAAUGCAGCUCGACUGCAAAGACGCUGUGUGCAGCGUAGCCUGCCUUGCGUGAGUCUGGGGGAUCGGGUGUCCGCAGAUGCAUGGUCAUGGCCAUGAUCGUCUCCUGUAUUGACCCGUGAAACCUACCUUGCAAAAGAGGCUAAGAGUCGGACUGGCUGUCGCGGAAAUCGCCUAGACUGUCGUAACUGGGCAGACAGAGGAUUGCAGUACGGACUAAGUGGCAAUUCGGUACCGGAAUCGGUAACGACCCGGCACAGACCAUAAUGGGAAACCGCCAACUGGCAACGGUUGGUCGUCUCUGGGGAAAUCCAACCGAACCUCAAGCCGUAAGAUUUACUCUGUCUGCUGCCACCCUUGUAUAA